Orbicella faveolata is the source of this 469-nucleotide long non-coding RNA. RefSeq lists it as uncharacterized. The record is from RefSeq and is a predicted model, not a curated record. NCBI's taxonomy places the organism in Eukaryota, Metazoa, Cnidaria, Anthozoa, Scleractinia, Merulinidae.
AACAGUUCACGCCACCCUAUCCCUCCACGGGAACCUCCACAGUACGUACCGGUACAUGUACAAAGGAAGGACUUCUUUUUUGCCCGGGUUAUGUAUUUUAAAACUAAAUCACAUGCCUGAAAUAAUUUGAUUUAAUUUACACGAUAAAUAAAUGUAUAUUACUGUGUUGCUCUAGAUUUUCGAUCAUCAUAACCACUGACUAAGUCAUAACUAACAUGAUCCUCUCCCUACUCUAGUCGGGAAGCAAUGACUUUUUCCCGAGGGGAUCAGAGACUGGGAAACCUAUUCCAACAGUUUUGAGUUUAGGAAAUCACUGUACAGAUUCUGUUUGUAAAGUUAACAAACGAAAUUAAUUGAAGGUUUUCCCAGGGACCAGUUGAAUUCUCAUGCGAGCGGAAAACUUGUCUGUAGGUGUGGAACAUUGUGGUGAGGACUGACAGCAGCUCAUCAAAAUACCAGUUUCCUGUCU